Molecule: unclassified non-coding RNA, 198 nt
Filed under: uncultured Ascomycota
Lineage: Eukaryota; Fungi; Ascomycota
Description: sequence contains ITS1
Source: RNAcentral
CCGAGUUAGGGUUUCGUCCGACGAGCCCGACCUCCCAACCCUUUGUCUAUUAUACCUUGUCGUUGCUUCGGCGGACCGGUCGCGACCAACUGGUCGAGACCGCCGGGGCCCGUCCCUGGAGAGCGUCCGCCGACGGCCCAACCACAAACUCUAGUACCAAACCAUAUCGACUGAAUUACUUGAUUAAAAUCAAAAACA